This 1286-nucleotide ribosomal RNA is filed under the name metagenome. Its description in RNAcentral is "bacterial SSU rRNA". It matches the Rfam family "Bacterial small subunit ribosomal RNA", at positions 187 to 1498 of the family's 1533-position model. The record is from RNAcentral.
UAAAUCUUUGAUAAUCAAAGAUUUAUCGCUGAAAGAUGAGCUCGCGUCUGAUUAGCUAGUUGGUAAGGUAACGGCUUACCAAGGCGACGAUCAGUAGCCGGACUGAGAGGUUGAUCGGCCACAUUGGGACUGAGACACGGCCCAGACUCCUACGGGAGGCAGCAGUGGGGAAUAUUGCACAAUGGAGGAAACUCUGAUGCAGCGAUGCCGCGUGAGGGAAGAAGGUUUUAGGAUUGUAAACCUCUGUCUUCAGGGACGAAAAAAGACGGUACCUGAGGAGGAAGCUCCGGCUAACUACGUGCCAGCAGCCGCGGUAAUACGUAGGGAGCGAGCGUUGUCCGGAAUUACUGGGUGUAAAGGGAGCGUAGGCGGGAUCGCAAGUCAGAUGUGAAAACUAUGGGCUUAACCCAUAAACUGCAUUUGAAACUGUGGUUCUUGAGUGAAGUAGAGGUAAGCGGAAUUCCUAGUGUAGCGGUGAAAUGCGUAGAUAUUAGGAGGAACAUCAGUGGCGAAGGCGGCUUACUGGGCUUUAACUGACGCUGAGGCUCGAAAGCGUGGGGAGCAAACAGGAUUAGAUACCCUGGUAGUCCACGCCGUAAACGAUGAUUACUAGGUGUGGGGGGACUGACCCCUUCCGUGCCGCAGCAAACGCAAUAAGUAAUCCACCUGGGGAGUACGACCGCAAGGUUGAAACUCAAAGGAAUUGACGGGGGCCCGCACAAGCAGUGGAGUAUGUGGAUUAAUUCGAAGCAACGCGAAGAACCUUACCAGGUCUUGACAUCGUAUGCAUAGCUCAGAGAUGAGUGAAAUCUCUUCGGAGACAUAUAGACAGGUGGUGCAUGGUUGUCGUCAGCUCGUGUCGUGAGAUGUUGGGUUAAGUCCCGCAACGAGCGCAACCCUUACUGUUAGUUGCUACGCAAGAGCACUCUAGCAGGACUGCCGUUGACAAAACGGAGGAAGGUGGGGAUGACGUCAAAUCAUCAUGCCCCCUAUGACCUGGGCCUCACACGUACUACAAUGGCUGUCAACAGAGGGAAGCAAAGCCGCGAGGUGGAGCGAACCCCUAAAAGCAGUCUUAGUUCGGAUUGUAGGCUGCAACCCGCCUACAUGAAGUCGGAAUUGCUAGUAAUCGCAGAUCAGCAUGCUGCGGUGAAUACGUUCCCGGGCCUUGUACACACCGCCCGUCACGCCAUGGGAGUCGGUAACACCCGAAGCCUGUAGUCUAACCGCAAGGAGGACGCAGUCGAAGGUGGGAUUGAUGACUGGGGUGAAGUCGUAACAAGGUA